Molecule: long non-coding RNA, 2828 nt
Organism: Panicum virgatum (switchgrass)
Lineage: Eukaryota; Viridiplantae; Streptophyta; Magnoliopsida; Poales; Poaceae
Exons: 4
Source: RefSeq, a predicted model, not a curated record
GCACGCCGACGUGUGCUUGAGUGGGAAGGCGGGAGGACGGUUUCGGUCGGGGUGAGGCCGCGAGGGAGAGGUGUGGCGCUGCUGCUGCGGAGCGGGAGAAGGGCCGGAACGAGGAGCCGGUGACGGAGAGGAAGAAGCGUGUCAAAUGUGAAAGUCUGGAAGAAGCUACACGUCUUGUGCAUUCUCUAGAUUGUUAACUCGCGAACCCGCUUGUUCAGAGGAUUCGCGAACCCUCGUGACUCCGCCUUGCAGGCACGACGCCUGCCUCCUCCACGCGCUCCGCCGCCUCCAUCCGCCCCUCCCUCCCUCUUCCCACCGGCGUCGCGCGCAGCUCCGCCGGCCCCGGCGCACCUCUGCCGGCCACCGUGCCCUCCCUCCCACUAGCCCCCACGCGCACCACCUCCACGGCCGCGCGCUGCCUCUACCGUGGCGCAGCCAGGGCCGCCGCCGCCGCGCCGCUUCCUCUGCGACCGGCGCGCCGCUCCCCGCCUCCUCCGCGGGGCCUCCUCUUCGCCUCCGCCACGCCACAGCCAGUCCGGCAGCGCCACCUCCUCUCUCUCCACACGCCGUCGCCGGCCUCGUGCCCACGCCGCCUCCAUGCCUCCUCCGCCUCGAUUCACCACCGCCACCUGGAUGGCUGGAUCCACGCCGUGCCGCCACCCAGUCGCUCCGCCCCUUUCUCCUCCGACGGUGAUGGCGCGGCGCCGGCGCCGGCGCCGGUGCUGGUGUCCCUGCUCCUUCCCAUCUUCUCCCUCUCCGGCUGCCCCUCCUUGCCCUCGGUCCAGCGCUGGUAACUUCAGCAGGCCAUGGCGAAGAUGAUGGCUAUGGCUUGCUUGCUCUGCUCUUCGCCGUGAGGACACUCGCAGCCUCAACGCCGCUGCCGCGGCAAGGGUGACGGUCCUGAAGGUACACCAGUAACCAGACUACCAGAGAGGAGCCAUAUCACCACCUUCUCUAUAGUGGACAUGGGAGUUUCUCUAUAAAAGCAUGGCACUCAGUGAGAUGACAUAGAAUCUACAGCAAGCUUGCAAUGAGCAAGAGUUCAAGUGGUUGCAGCCACGCAGGCGAGUGCAGGCCACCGACAGUGCUGCUGCUCCCAUAUCUCAAGUGCAAGGUAACCAGUCCAUGGAUGCUCUCCUCCCAAAACCUAGGUAUCCUCUGCAGUUUCCCCAUGCUAAUUCUCCUCUCUCUCAUUCUUUCAUGGAUUUCUAGGUCACCAAAACCUAGGAUUUGAGGAUUGGAUUUUUUUCUCUCAUUAUCAUCAGGUUGGACCAAAUCUUUGCAAACUAAGUUUAAUGUUUCAAAGUUUGAUCUAUUUACAAAUAUGGUGAUGCACUGUGCUCAUUACGCCCAAUGUUCAAAAAAGUUUCAUAGCUAUGUCCCUUCUCCAUUAGAUGUUAUGAACUGAUAGAAAGUUCCUGUUAUUUUAUUGCAAUAUGCAAUCCAAAAUGCCUGGUAUCUAGCAUAAUCUUUUUAAGUCCUUUUGUGUAUUGAUAUAGAUAGCUGCAAAUUAUAGAUGGUUUUGUACUCACUUCAAUGAUUUCUAAAAGUCAAAAUCCAUCUCAAUUCUGCUGCCUAAAACUGCAUUACUACUACUGUAUUGAUCUUGACCAGCGCUUGCCAGUUCUUCUCUGCUUUCAGAGAGAAACAGGGUAUCCAAAAGCUGAAAUCACCCACACAAGGUGGUUCUGUCUCCAGUGCAUAAACGUGUUUUCCUGAGAUAGGCACAUUGUUAGAUUAUUUCUGGUUCUUAGGUCCGUAUAUGAGUCACAGCUUAGUGACCCAUGGAUAUAUAACCAUAUCAAAAUAGAAAGUUUCAAAAACUAACUCUAUGUUAAAAAAAUAUGCUACUUUUCUAUAUAAAUAAAAAAUGAAAAAAAACUCAAAACACCCACUGUACAGCCCUCUACUAAAUUGUUUACUUUUGAUAUCUAAUAUUGUAAGAGCUUUAUAAAUUUGGUCUGUUUUUUGAGCCAUUUGCAUACCACCAUGUUGCCCUGCUUACGCUUUCCAUCGCACGGUCCUGCAGCAGCAUUUGCACAGAAAGAUCAACAGUGGUUGUAGUCAAGGUGGCAACUAAAGGCGCUUUUAGCUGAGGAAGAAGCUGUGCGCAACUUUCUUGCAGAGCUCAAUUAUGUCACUAUUCAUUUCUUGGAUUCAUUUUAGGCUCAGUUACUUGAAAAAAAAAAAGGAAAGAAGCUACAGGGGAUCGGAUAGCAUGCAUUCAGAUGCAAGGAUACAGCUAUGCCGCCUUCUUUUUUUUUUGUCUCCCUGUUCGAUCUGGUAGUGAGGUAGUAAACACACAUAUAUCUCAAUUUGCAAUUUCUCUGCAUAGGGCAAAGAGAUAAACAUUAUAGUUUCAUUCACUGACUAUUUACGCUUAUGUAAAGAGCCACACAAAUAUGAUUUCUUCCAGGUUUGUUAUCUCCUACAUCAUCAAUUUCUUUAUUAAUUGAAUGUAUAAUUUUCUUUCCCAAUCAAGGACUUGUAUAUAUAUUCGCAAUCAAAGGACUCUGUUGCUCCUAUUUUGUAAAAUUAACCUUACUUAUCUGUGCAGAGACAGUCAUGUUUUGGCUCAUCACCACAUGUAUACUCAUUGAAGUCUGAUCUCUGGCUCUAUCCAUAUUGCUCCUCGUUGCUCUCUGCUGGCUGGCCCUCUCAAUUGAGCUCCAUGCCCAAAUCGAUAAUAUUGGAUCCGGAGAGGAGAUGCUGUGAGAGGCUUGGUAGUACUUCACACUUUCAGAUAUUGAAUGUGAUCGUUGUCCCAUGCUAAAUUGCUAAUCCAAGAGGAUAAUAGAAUGAGAAAUAAGAUGUAUGCUCUAAUACUC